This 204-nucleotide ribosomal RNA is filed under the name uncultured bacterium. Its description in RNAcentral is "partial 16S ribosomal RNA". It matches the Rfam family "Bacterial small subunit ribosomal RNA", at positions 1284 to 1500 of the family's 1533-position model. The record is from RNAcentral.
UCCCUACGUUCGGAUUGUAGGCUGAAACUACGCCUACAUGAAGCUGGAAUUGCUAGUAAUCACAGGUCAGCAUACUGUGGUGAAUACGUUCCCGGGCCUUGUACACACCGCCCGUCACACCAUGAGAGUUGAGAAUACCCGAAGCCCAUGUCAAAGUGGUCGAAGGUAGGCUUGAUGAUUGGGGUGAAGUCGUAACAAGGUAAC